Molecule: ribosomal RNA, 492 nt
Filed under: uncultured bacterium
Lineage: Bacteria
Description: partial 16S ribosomal RNA
Rfam family: Bacterial small subunit ribosomal RNA
Source: RNAcentral
AGUGAACGCUGGCGGUAGGCCUAACACAUGCAAGUCGAACGGCAGCACAGUAAGAGCUUGCUCUUACGGGUGGCGAGUGGCGGACGGGUGAGGAAUACAUCGGAAUCUACUUUUUCGUGGGGGAUAACGUAGGGAAACUUACGCUAAUACCGCAUACGACCUACGGGUGAAAGCAGGGGAUCUUCGGACCUUGCGCGAUUGAAUGAGCCGAUGUCGGAUUAGCUAGUUGGCGGGGUAAAGGCCCACCAAGGCGACGAUCCGGAGCUGGUCUGAGAGGAUGAUGAGCGACCCUGGAGCUGAGACGCGGUGCAGACGCCUACGGGAGGAGGCAGUGGGGAAUAAUGGAGAAUGGGGGGAAGCCUGAUGCAGCAAUGCCGCGUGGGUAAAGAAGGACUUCGGGUUGUAGUGACCUUCUGUCGGGAAUGAAAAGCGGCAGGCUAGUUCGUCGCUGUGCUGACGGUAGCUGGAUAAGAAGCACCGGCUAACUACGUG